UCAUUACCUUCUACGUAGUCUGCGGCGUAAGCGCUGCGCGCAUGAUCUGCAUCACCAUUUUAUUUAAUUCGUUUUCGCCAGUGAAUGUUAAAUUAAAUGUGCAUUGCCGUCUGAUUAAAUAAUUAACAAAGGAAAUAAAACACCCCAGGAAGUAUGAAAUUGCCGAGCUGCGGAGCCAUCUUCGAAUCCAUGCUGAUCCGAACUUUUGACGACUUUAACGUACGUCCACACAACACCGUAUUUGUUUAGGACUUUCAGGAGAACUAUCUGGUCCAACAUGUUUGUAAGUGGGACGUAUUCCGGUUGCAUCAAAUAGUAGAUGGAGAAGAACUAAGUUCGCUUCAGUGAUGAAGAAUGAGGAGGAACCUUUUGAAGGGAUCGUCCGUACAGAACACAUGUGGACUGUGUAGCCAGAAUUUUUCCCGGAUAAAAAUCAUGGAUCACGCUAAAGAUCAUCAAAAAUUGGAAGAACUCUUUGCCUGUCGACAAUGCUCACGAGGGCUUCCCAGCACAGCUUGUCCACCAUAUGUAAAUACGCCGGAAUUAGACCAUGUGACCGUUCAUUCAUCCAGUCAAAUUUAGUCAUAUAAGCCAGAUAACAGACAAAUACGAUAAACAAAACAAGUAAACCAAAUAAUACUAACAAAAUAAAUAAGACAAACAAGACACAUAAUUAAGUUUUCCUCGGUGUUUGCCCUAUUAAUCUUACUUAUGUGUCUUGUUUGUCUCAUUUAUUUUGUUCGUCUUAUUUGGUUUACUUAUAAGGUAUUUUAAAGUAUGAAACGAACAUUUAAUUAGAAUUUAUUAUUGCAAAUUUUGCGCCGUGUUCGACUCCCAUGCAAAAAAUAUUGUCCCACCAAAAUAUGUUCCCACCAGUUUCUCCAUAUAUGGAUGACGUCUCCACUGCAAGAAAGAGCUUUUUAGGGUGUGUGAAAGGGUGCAAGAAUGAUGUUUUGGAUUGUGCUUUCGCUAAUUUCUAUACAAUUAGACGUGUGAGCAUUUGUUUUGGUACUUCGAUAAAUUUGCACGAUAGUCUAUUCU
Armigeres subalbatus is the source of this 1041-nucleotide long non-coding RNA. RefSeq lists it as uncharacterized. The record is from RefSeq and is a predicted model, not a curated record. Lineage: Eukaryota; Metazoa; Arthropoda; Insecta; Diptera; Culicidae. The transcript is spliced from 3 exons.